GGCCCCAUAAAGAACACAAUAAAGAUGAAAUGGCUUAAUGUCCUGCUUCAAUGUACAUCAAGACUACACAGAGUUACUACCUGCAGGAACAGGACUGAGCACAUUCAACAUGAGCCCUGGAACACAACACAUUUCCAUCAAUCAAGACUUAGUAGGGUACAUGAUGAAAAAAUGCACCGUCAUCCUCCUCCUGGAGUUUAAGUUCGUAUGGCUAGCAUCUACAGCUCAGAAGAUCCA
Long non-coding RNA from Alosa sapidissima (American shad), 237 nucleotides. RefSeq lists it as uncharacterized. Lineage: Eukaryota; Metazoa; Chordata; Actinopteri; Clupeiformes; Clupeidae. The transcript has 3 exons. The record is from RefSeq and is a predicted model, not a curated record.